This is an RNA transcript of Arachis duranensis, 1369 nucleotides long. RefSeq lists it as uncharacterized. Lineage: Eukaryota; Viridiplantae; Streptophyta; Magnoliopsida; Fabales; Fabaceae. The transcript is spliced from 7 exons. The record is from RefSeq and is a predicted model, not a curated record.
AACAUUUUCUUUUCUUUCUCUCUCCAGUGUCAAUGUUUUCACGUGUCUCUCACUUUCUUCGUUCUGUUCUUUUCUGUCCUCAUUCCUUUCACUCUGUUUGUUCCCUAACAAAAAACCACAAUUGAGUUUUGUUCUUUCCCAUUUUAGGGUUGUUCUCAGGAGGUAGUUGAUGUUUCAUUUUGGGGUUGUCUCCGCGUAGAAAAUAAAUAAAUAAAUAAUUGACUUUGGGUUGAUGCAGCAUAAGCUUAAACCUUUCUAAGGUUCAAAUAAUGGAAGGACAGAACCAAUUCAAUUCUUCUUCUUCUUCUUCUUCGUCUUCUUUCACUUCUGAACUCUUUGGAUCCGACCAAUCCCAACGUCCAUCUUCUAAUUCUGGAAUCUUAGCUUCUAUAUUCCCUCCAUCGUCUAAGGUGUUAGGGAGAGAAUCUCGGCAUUUUCAAGUGACCGAAAAAACCGCAACCCCAAAAACGGUUAUACCUGAUGAUGUACACAACUACAAGAGCAAUGAUGGUGAAACUGGUAAGGAUAUGAUGAGUUCCAUGUAUGAGGAACAAAGAGUUCAACCUUGCCACCUUAGCUCAUCAAUCUAUUAUGGUGGCCAGGACAUAUAUUCGCAUCCUCAAAGUACACAAAACUCCGGAUUGAACUCUUUGUACAAGAAGGAUGGGGGAGAAGAUGACUCUGGAAGUGCUUCAAGAGGAAACUGGUGGCAAGGAUCUCUCUAUUAUUAGGAGCAUUGCUAAGGAUUAAGGAAUAUACUCCUAAAGCUCUUCCUUGAGAACCCUAGCCACCAUAGCGCCACCUGGUUCGUCGUGGUCGAAGGCCCUUUCCUUGUUCGCGCAACGCCAGCGUCUCCAGGUCAUGCUCCUUAGAUCUUUGCCCGUCGUCCGUCCAUUAUGUUCGUCGCCAGCUCCUUCAAUGGCAAAUGUCACAAUAGAGAAGAGCGGGUUUGGAUCACACAAUGAUGGGUUGAGAUGUUAUAGUGGCACCACACAAUGCCAAACGGAGUAUGCAGGAAGAGGAGUUUUCUAUUCGAGUGAAAGAGGAGGGAAAGGGGUUAGGAGGAUUGCUUAGCAGAAUUUAAUUUCUACCCUUCCAUAUAUAUAUAUAUAUAUAUGUAUGGUGAGUGUUGGGGCCAGGGCAAAUUGUUUUCUCCAGCCAAAGAACAGAAUCACAUAAUCAGUAUGAACCUGUAAAUAAAGAAUUGAAUAAUGCAUCAUCUCAAUAAUGUAUAAGUUGUAUGCUAUAUAUAUGUAGCUAACUAAAGUUUUGAUGAUUUUAGAUCAAAUGCGGGAAACUCACACUUUACUGGUUUUUCCUUUACCUUGUAUUUCAGAUGUCUUGAACUGAUGAAUCAUCAGCUUGUAUA